UUAAAACCCUAAGGACUUGGCGGUGUCCCAAACCCACCUAGAGGAGCCUGUUCUAUAAUCGAUAACCCACGCUACACCCAACCCCCCCUUGCCCCAAGCAGCCUAUAUACCGCCGUCGCCAGCUCACCUCCCCUGAAAGCCCAACAGUGAGCACAACCGCCUCACCCGCUAGAAAGACAGGUCAAGGUACAGCCCAUGGGGGGGAAAGAAAUGGGCUACAUUUUCUGACCCAGAAAAUCAACGAAAGAGGGCUUGAAAACAGCUCUCAGAAGGCGGAUUUAGCAGUAAGACAUAACCACCAUGCUUGUCUUAAACCGGCCCUGGGACACGUACAUACCGCCCGU
This 344-nucleotide ribosomal RNA is filed under the name Dryocopus martius (black woodpecker). Its description in RNAcentral is "partial 12S rRNA". It matches the Rfam family "Bacterial small subunit ribosomal RNA", at positions 894 to 1397 of the family's 1533-position model. The record is from RNAcentral. Lineage: Eukaryota; Metazoa; Chordata; Aves; Piciformes; Picidae.